GAAAGCAACCAGAACAUACAAGACCAUAUGAUUCAAAGAUUGCUCCCGAUGGUUAAUAACAGCCAAGCAAUGAAUUGGGUUGAGAAGGAAGCUGUAAAUCACAUCAUCAAUGAUGUACUUGCUAGCUUGCCAACAAAUGCCAAUGACACAGGUUCCUUUGGGAAUUUGGUGAUUUUUUAGAACAGCACAUCAGUUGUAACAAUUUCAGAAAAUACUUUAGGUGGCAUUGUGACAAAGAACAAUGGCGUUAAGGCUUUCUCCUUCAAGAAUCCUAGUUUUAACAAGAUGGAUCCACCUUUGCAAAAA
This 306-nucleotide unclassified non-coding RNA is filed under the name Hevea brasiliensis (rubber tree). The record is from RNAcentral. Lineage: Eukaryota; Viridiplantae; Streptophyta; Magnoliopsida; Malpighiales; Euphorbiaceae.